Molecule: long non-coding RNA, 1910 nt
Organism: Triticum aestivum (bread wheat)
Lineage: Eukaryota; Viridiplantae; Streptophyta; Magnoliopsida; Poales; Poaceae
Exons: 6
Source: RefSeq, a predicted model, not a curated record
UCUUUAUUCUGACGCCAGAUCCAGAUCUGAGGCCCGUUUUCCUUUAUAUAAGAGUACCCUCUCGACCUCACGAGCCCUCACCAGAUCUGAAGCUCGUAGGCAGCAGGCCUCUCCUAGAGCCAUGAGAAAUGAGCUGCAGUGAGUGUUAGUGGAUGAAAGCUCAAAACGCUUUCGUAGAUCCUGACAGUUUUGAAGUAAUAGCAGGCCUGGCUUUGCUUUUCUUCAAAGCAUCUUGAGAGACCAAAAUCUGCAAUUUUUGGCACCAUGUUGUCAUCAAGCAAUAUAUUUGCAGGUUUGAGGUCUAAGUGGAGAAUAUGGAUCUUGUGGAGAUAAUGCAAACCCUCACAAAUUCCCUUGAUUAUUUCAUAGCGCUUUGUCCAUUGAGAUUCUCUUCAUUGAGAAAUUGUGCGGCAUGGGACAAUUGCAACGAAGCUGUCCAACAUGCAUGAUAAAAGAUAAGAGCAAAAAUAUAGUAUGAUCUAUUGGAUAUUGUGUUGACUCACAAGGAAAGACCAAAAUACAAAAAAAAGAGGCAAAUGAUUGCUAUGCGUUGCAUGUCUACCUAGGCGAAUCUACAUGCCUAUGUAACAAAUUCAAGAUGCAUGGGUCUGCAUGUAGAGAGCGCUAUCAAAUAAUCAAGGAAUUUGCGAGGGUUUACAUUAUCUUCACAAGAGUUAUAUUGUUCGCUUAGACCUUAGACCUUCAAACAUAUUUCUAGAUGACAAUAUGAUGCUAAAAAUUGCGGAUUUUUGUUUCUCAUGAUGCUUGGAGGAAAAACAAAGCUAAGCUAUUGCUUCAAAACAGUUUGGAUCUAUGUAAUCUAGCCAGCCAACAAUCUUCGAAAGCUCGAUUUCUUUGUGUAUUUUAUUAAUUAUAUGCCUUCCUUGCCCUGUUCAUUAACAAGUUGAUAUGGAUUUUAUGCAGGGCAUCAGACUCUUAAGAUGGAAAAUCACAUUAGAGCUACACAUGUAGUUUUUGCUUAUAAUCGUACAAUACUAGUGGGGAAAAACGGGCAUUGAUGAAAUGGGUGGGCGCAUUGUAGAUUUACCUUUGUUAAUGUUGUUUGCAAGUUAACAUCAGAUCUGUAUAUGUGUGUAUAUAUUACAUGUCUUGCUGUCAUAAUAUAUGAAUGCAAUAGGUUCUUGAAACUUGGGGGAUUAGGUUGGAGAAAUCACCAGGAGGAUAUUUGAUGCGUGUAGUACGCACAGGCUGUAGUCAUUGGCUUGACAAAACAGAACGAACAAAUACUUCUUUUCAGACUUGCAUGGGUAGGUCAUAGGUUGUGCAGGUAAGCUCAUUUAUGGGCCACGGCAUGCUCCACUAACCUCUUUUUUGUAGAACCUGUGUACAUCAUUCCAUGCUGCUCCGAGCUGGUGGAUGAGAUCAAGCCUCGUUGGUUGUCCAACAGAAAUGGGUUCUGGUGGGCUGCAGCGAAAUGCACCUAAGAUAUAUUGGGAAGCCAUUCCAUCUAACGGCCCGUCCUUCAUAGAUAUCAUUACUGAAUUAGAGGUUUCCGGCAGCAGAUCAGGAGCAAACAUGAAGAUACUGUGGAGACAAGGCAAGAAGAAGAAACAGUCCAGGCAAUGAAGAGUGGCCCCUCUGCUCAUACUCCAUGAUAGUUCUUCCCGUUAACUGAUCGGCCAAGCGAGGAUAGGGGCUGAUGGCACUAGAAAAGUAGCGUAUCGCCUGAUUUUGUCAUUGCUUCUUCGGACCUGAUUUUUAUGGUCUCAUUCUCAAUUUCAGUUACAGCUCUAGUCUGGAUUAUCUCACAUAGAGCAAACCGGAGUGACCAUUAUAUCUAGCUUUCUGGUUUCGUUAACAUUUGGGUUGAUGGAUAUGUCAUCUAUGGAUGUAUUGGUUACGACUUGCAGCUUUAAAUAGCUGCUACUCACAGUGAGAAUUUCAUAUCA